GACGAGGAUAACCGUUGAAACAGUGGCUAAGACUGGAUAGGAAGAUAAAAGGCAUCUUUUUAUCUUUUAAAAGACCUAGUAAUAGGUAUGCUUUAGGAGGGGCUUGCGCCAUAUUAGUUAGUUGGUAGGGUAAUGGCCUACCAAGACGAUGAUGUGUAGCUGGACUGAGAGGUUGAACAGCCACAUUGGGACUGAGACACGGCCCAAACUCCUACGGGAGGCAGCAGUAGGGAAUUUUCGGCAAUGGAGGAAACUCUGACCGAGCAACGCCGCGUGAAUGACGAAGUACUUCGGUAUGUAAAGUUCUUUUAUCAAGGAAGAAAAGCAAAUGGCGAACCAUUUGUUUGCCGGUACUUGAUGAAUAAGCCCCGGCUAAUUAUGUGCCAGCAGCCGCGGUAAGACAUAAGGGGCAAGUGUUAUCCGGAAUUAUUGGGCGUAAAGGGUGCGUAGGCGGUCUAGUAAGUCAGUGGUGUAAUGGCAACGCUUAACGUUGUCCGGCUAUUGAAACUGCUAAACUUGAGUUAGAUAGAGGCGAGUGGAAUUCCAUGUGUAGCGGUAAAAUGCGUAAAUAUAUGGAGGAACACCAGAGGCGUAGGCGGCUCGCUGGGUCUUAACUGACGCUGAGGCACGAAAGCGUGGGGAGCAAACAGGAUUAGAUACCCUGGUAGUCCACGCCGUAAACGAUGAGUACUAAGUGUCGGGUUAAACCGGUACUGAAGUUAACACAUUAAGUACUCCGCCUGAGUAGUACGUACGCAAGUAUGAAACUUAAAGGAAUUGACGGGACUCCGCACAAGCGGUGGAUCAUGUUGUUUAAUUCGAAGAUACCCGAAAAACCUUACCAGGUCUUGACAUGUUUUUGCAAAAUGAUAGUAAUAUCGUGGAGGUUACCAGAAACACAGGUGGUGCAUGGUUGUCGUCAGCUCGUGUCGUGAGAUGUUAGGUUAAGUCCUAAAACGAGCGAAACCCUUAUCGUUAGUUGCCAGCACGUUAUGGUGGGGACUUUAACGAGACUGCCAAUGAUAAAUUGGAGGAAGGUGAGGAUCACGUCAAAUCAGCAUGCCCCUUAUGACCUGGGCUACAAACGUGAUACAAUGGCUGUUACAAAGGGUAGCUGAAACGCAAGUUCUUGGCCAAUCCCCAAAAACAGUCCCAGUCCGGAUUGAAGUCUGCAACUCGACUUCAUGAAGUUGGAAUCGCUAGUAAUCGCGAAUCAGCAUGUCGCGGUGAAUACGUUCUCGGGGUUUGUACACACCGCCCGUCAAACCACGAAAGUUGGCAAUA
Molecule: ribosomal RNA, 1284 nt
Filed under: 'Glycine max' peanut witches'-broom phytoplasma
Lineage: Bacteria; Bacillati; Mycoplasmatota; Mollicutes; Acholeplasmatales; Acholeplasmataceae
Description: bacterial SSU rRNA
Rfam family: Bacterial small subunit ribosomal RNA
Source: RNAcentral